UUCCACGUUUUCCGCGCCGUAGCUAACGCAUUAAGUGCCCCGCCUGGGGAGUACGGCCGCAAGGCUAAAACUCAAAGGAAUUGACGGGGGCCCGCACAAGCGGCGGAGCAUGCGGAUUAAUUCGAUGCAACGCGAAGAACCUUACCAAGGCUUGACAUGGACCGGACCGCCGCAGAAAUGUGGUUUCCCCUUUGGGGCCGGUUCACAGGUGGUGCAUGGUUGUCGUCAGCUCGUGUCGUGAGAUGUUGGGUUAAGUCCCGCAACGAGCGCAACCCUCGUUCCAUGUUGCCAGCGCGUAAUGGCGGGGACUCAUGGGAGACUGCCGGGGUCAACUCGGA
Molecule: ribosomal RNA, 338 nt
Filed under: Arthrobacter sp.
Lineage: Bacteria; Bacillati; Actinomycetota; Actinomycetes; Micrococcales; Micrococcaceae
Description: bacterial SSU rRNA
Rfam family: Bacterial small subunit ribosomal RNA
Source: RNAcentral